GAUGAACGCUGGCGGCGUGCCUAAUACAUGCAAGUCGAGCGAACAGAUAAGGAGCUUGCUCCUUUGACGUUAGCGACGGACGGGUGAGUAACACGUGGAUAACCUACCUAUAAGACUGGGAUAACUUCGGGAAACCGGAGCUAAUACCGGAUAACAUAUUGAACCGCAUGGUUCAAUAGUGAAAGGCGGCUUUGCUGUCACUUAUAGAUGGAUCCGCGCCGUAUUAGCUAGUUGGUAAGGUAACGGCUUACCAAGGCAACGAUACGUAGCCGACCUGAGAGGGUGAUCGGCCACACUGGAACUGAGACACGGUCCAGACUCCUACGGGAGGCAGCAGUAGGGAAUCUUCCGCAAUGGGCGAAAGCCUGACGGAGCAACGCCGCGUGAGUGAUGAAGGUCUUCGGAUCGUAAAACUCUGUUAUCAGGGAAGAACAAAUGUGUAAGUAACUGUGCACAUCUUGACGGUACCUGAUCAGAAAGCCACGGCUAACUACGUG
RNAcentral lists this ribosomal RNA (497 nucleotides) under uncultured bacterium. RNAcentral describes it as "partial 16S ribosomal RNA". It matches the Rfam family "Bacterial small subunit ribosomal RNA", at positions 28 to 507 of the family's 1533-position model. The record is from RNAcentral.